AAAUUUGAAAUCUGGCGUAAGCCCGAGUUGUAAUUUGUAGAGGAUGCUUCUGGCCAGCGGCCGUUCUAAGUUCCUUGGAACAGGACGUCAUAGAGGGUGAGAAUCCCGUAUGUGACCGGCGCGCAGCCUUUACGUAGCUCCUUCGACGAGUCGAGUUGUUUGGGAAUGCAGCUCUAAAUGGGAGGUAAAUUUCUUCUAAAGCUAAAUACCGGCCAGAGACCGAUAGCGCACAAGUAGAGUGAUCGAAAGAUGAAAAGCACUUUGGAAAGAGAGUUAAAAAGCACGUGAAAUUGUUGAAAGGGAAGCGCUUGCAACCAGACUUUGUAGCGAUGUUCCGCCGGUCUUCUGACCGGUCUACUCAUCGUCGCGAGGCCAACAUCGUCUGGGACCGCUGGAUAAGACCUAAGGAAUGUAGCUUCCCUCGGGAAGUGUUAUAGCCUGUGGUGAUGCAGCGCGUCUCGGGCGAGGUCCGCGCUUCGGCAAGGAUGUUGGCGUAAUGGUUGUCAGCGGCCCGUCUUGAAACACGGACCAAGGAGUCUAACAUCUAUGCGAGUGUUCGGGUGUCAAACCCCUACGCGUAAUGAAAGUGAACGGAGGUGGGAAGCGCAAGCUGCACCAUCGACCGAUCCUGAUGUCCUCGGAUGGAUUUGAGUAAGAGCAUAGCUGUUGGGACCCGAAAGAUGGUGAACUAUGCCUGAAUAGGGUGAAGCCAGAGGAAACUCUGG
RNAcentral lists this ribosomal RNA (725 nucleotides) under Ragnhildiana perfoliati. RNAcentral's name for it is "eukaryotic LSU rRNA". It matches the Rfam family "Eukaryotic large subunit ribosomal RNA", at positions 111 to 867 of the family's 3401-position model. Lineage: Eukaryota; Fungi; Ascomycota; Dothideomycetes; Mycosphaerellales; Mycosphaerellaceae. RNAcentral also lists the same sequence under 1 other name. The record is from RNAcentral.